CCAGGUACCACAGUUCACUGGGGAAGGGCAGGGCUGGGCAAGGGGAGGCUGCUCUGGGGCUGGAGAAGGAACAACAUUCAUGUGGCUUUCAGUUGGAAAAGCUGUGGAAAUGACUGAAAGGAGGGAGAACUACUUGCUCAGCUAAGGGUGAGCUAGGUGAAGACUGUAACCUUCUGCCCUUACGGGGAGCAAGAGCUUUAGCAGCUCUGCUUUCUCGCAGCGCUAAUUUGCAGACCAGCAGGAAAGGUGAUGUUUCCUUGCACGUUUGAGCCUUGUCAUUUUAGACACGAGCUCUUGGCCAGCAUCCAGAGCAUCCGUGGGAGUGAUGGUCCUGGCAUCCAGUCUUGCUGCCUGUCAGAUAAAAGACCUGUGCCUGAGCAGGUCGGUUGGUGUUUGGAGUAUCCAGAGAGGGGUCUGGCUAUGCAGGGAAGGAUCCGGAGCCCAUAUCUUCUGACACAGAGUAAUCCAACGCCUGCUUUGCAUCUCGCAUCGGCAGCUCGUUCCCUGCAGGUCCCUGCAGCCUUGGUAAGAUGGAGAGCUAGUGCCACCUUGUGCACAGCAGCAGCCAUGCCUCCCACCCCAAGGAAAGCUGUGCGAGGGCUGCCUGCCUCCUCCCCGGCAGCCUCUUGCACUCUGCAGAGGGAACAUUAGGCACCAGGAGGCAGAAAUGAUGGGGAACAGGCUGGCUGCAGGAUGCCUGCUCGCUUCUCUGUAAGGCUGAGAGGGUUUCAGGGCUGAGUAGGAGUAGCAAAGCCACUGGGGGACGGGGACGGUGGACUAAAAAGCUGACGGUGAAAGAUUCUGGUAGAACAUCACUUCUGGUUGUUUCUGUAAACGCCAGAUCAGAGGUGGCUCUUGCCACUGAGAAAGCAGGGCCAAGCUCGUGGAAGGAGGCAGAACUGCCUCUCCAGGUCAGAAUGCAUUUUAAUUCAAGCCACAGUCUUGAAACCAAAUUCGUAGCUGAGCGCCUGUGGAGAUCCAGGAUCCUGAAUCAUUCAUCAGCGGUUAAGUGACAGAACCACCACCUGGGAGGCCAAAACCCUGGGCAGGUUAUCAACACCAGCCUGCCUGCAGCAGUCCUCUCCCCUUCUGUCUCCUCUCCUUUCUCCUCCCCUCUCCCAGCUCCUGGCACAGGCCGUGGUGUCCCUCCGGGAGAAGUGGCAGUGGUGCCAUCCUGCGGUCACCUGGGCCUUUGCAAGAGGGAGAGUGGCUUUGUCCCGUUUUUUUGUGUUUUUUUUUUUUUUCUGUUCUGCACGAACUGGUUUUAUCUUGGUUCCUUUUGUAAUAAAGGUGAUAAAAGUUUAAACAGGUACUGCCUGCUUCAGCUGGGCGACAGCUGACGAUGGGGUUACUUAGAGGGUUAGGAGAGCAGGCUGUGAAAAUGAUCCCUGUGCUUUCAUAGUCCUGUAGCCAUUCUGCAAACAUGGGCAAGCUACUCUAAAAUACAGGCAAGCCCUGCAGGGAGGGAGGCUGUCUUGCUAAGGGUCCCUUACCUUCUGGUGUCAAAACUCUGGCAGCCCAGGGUGGGAAAACUGUGCUACAGGUAAGGUGAAUUGUCCUGUAGCCUAAAAAAUCCUGGGGGAGCAGGGCAGAGUCUGAGGUCCUUGAGCGAGUGCUUUGAAUCCUUCACUGUCAGGCUCUGCAAGUCCCCUGGGCACGGCCUUUUCAAGGGGAAAGAAAGCUGCAGAUACAGCUGUAUAGUAUAUAUAUGUAUAAUCCUACACACAUCAGAUUAUCGCCGUUUUCCUCUUGUUUCUGCAAACAUACCCAGGAGGCUGUGCAGUUCAUCAGAAGGGAGCUAUUAGGAGGUGAAAGAAAAUAGCCGUCGCUCUGGGAUAUCACCUGGGGGUAUUAUUAUACCUUGGUAAUGCUGCCAAUUGGUUUUGAGCUGGCUUGGGACAAACCAUGUGAGGAACUAAUCCCAAAUAGGAUUAUUUCCAUAGGACUGACAAAGGUACAUCCCAUUUCUGUCUUUCUGGAAAAAAAAACGACACCUUGAAUUUGAUCACUUCUGUGGGGAUGCCUCAACUUUGUCCUUAUAUGAGGAUGACAAGCCUGGGCUUUUAUAGACACUGUGCCCUGUCAUUGCCCCUCGAGCAGUGGUACCUUUCCGGGUCUCUGUGGUGACACAGAUGAACCCUUUGGGCUUAGGAAAAGACCUGAAGAUGUUUGGGGUUUUUUUUCCAUUCUUCCAGGGGAAAUAGCUGUGUGAUGCCACCUUCUCUUUGUGGCCCCUUCUGCAUAUAAGGCUGGAGGGAUCAGUGCACCUGCUAGGUGCUUCUCCAGUAUCUUCCCUAGGCAGGAAUUUUUCCUGUUGCCCACGUUGUUCCAGUGCUUCUCUGUCCUUCCCACCAGAAAGCUCUUUCCCUGAUACCUGAAUCAUUCCUGCUGCAGGCUGGGCCUGUUACUACCUACACAGCUAUGGAAAUCAGUGGUUCCCUCCCCUUACAGCAGCCUGUUAUGCACUUGACUGUUAUACUCUUUCCUUUAACCUCUUCCUUUCUCAGGUUUACCCACCCAUAUCAUUAAAGCUUCCCUCGGGAUCAGGCCUCUACCCAGAUUUGUUUCUCCUUAUCCUAUUUGCAAGCAGUCCCAGUAUUUCUCGACGUAGCUCAAACCCGAAGCCUCCCUGGCACACGCUGUGGGAUGACAGCACAGCUCCAUCUGCUGUGUGGUGACUUGAGAGAAAAGAGAAGUGUUUUUUUAACCUGUCCUUACUAACUGAUGUCAGGACUAGUAUAGGAUGAGGCAGUCAUAUGCAAAGUCAUUCCCUGAGCGGUUGUCACAUGAAUAAGGAGUGGAGACUGGUGCUUAGUGUACAUCUGGAAGGAAGAUAAAUCUUCCUUCUCACCCCAGCUUGGACCCAGCUGUGAUUUUCCCUGUGAGGGGGGAAACUGUGUAGCUCUUCUGAGUGUGGGGGAACUGUACAGGGGAAGUAAGACAGUAAUUUCUCUGUGGUGACUCCAUCGUGGAAUGGCCUGGUCCAGACCCGCUGUUGCAGAGACCAGCUCAUAUUCUCCAAGGCUUUUCCAUCAGAAAACUGGACUUCACUAAAGCUGUGACUGGCACUGGGGUACAUCUGAUCUUGGAUAAAUCCUCCUUCUGACUGAAAAGGAGAUGGUGCCUAGGACAGGAGAUGACUUGGUACCGGUGCUGUCCUUGCUGUGUGACUAAUGGUGUUGCUCUGGGGGCUUUUUUCACCUAAUCAGCCUGCAGGAUGUGUGACGUCCUGAAGCAGGUGCCCCCUGCUGAACCCUAAGCAAAUCAAGCUUCUGAGCCAGCCAGGAACCACCAGCAACCAAGACUAAGGAGCUGGCUUUGACACAGAGGUGGGUGAGAACAUGGGAUCCCACCACAGAGCGGAAAACACAGUGGAGGAGGCAGGUGGGGGCAGUUUUGUGGACGUACGUAGGCCUCUGUGCAAUAAGCUCCACUCCCAGGUGCUUGAGCCUUGAUGUACCUAAACAAACAGGGUUCAGUACAUGAGCAGAAAACAGGCAAAGCGAAGCUGUGGCCGGCCCCAGCACCAGCCUUUCUCACUUUUCCAUCCGCCAGCCGUAGCUGAUCUGACUCUUGCUGCCUCACGCUCUUGUCUCCCUUGAUUUCAGACUGGCGUGAAAGGCUCAGUGCAGCGCGGCGGCCCCCAGGCCCAUGACUGUUUUUUGGGGAGGCGAACCAGCCCCCCUUGGCCAUGCUGCAGCCGCUGGCUCAUGCGCAAGCAGCGGGGAGCACGUUCGGGGCAGUUCUGCAGACCCCUGGCUGCAGCCUGGGGACGGGAGCAAUACACGGGAUGGGGGCUUUGUGUGAGGGAAGAGGGUUACAGCUAAGAGGUCUAACCUCCUCAACCCCCUCCUGGCUAAGAAGGGGACGCAUAGGAAGCCCGAGGGAGGGGAGAACAUUUGAGAAUCGAGGCAGUCCUGUUGGCUGAGUCUGUGCGACUCCCUCCCCUGCAAACCUGGAGAGGGAUCUGGUCCAGGAGGAGCAUCUGGCUUACGCCGUCUUGGCACAAUCGAUCUUGAUUCUUAAUCCCCGUCACACCCCAGUGUGGGGACCAGGCCCAGUCCCGUCCAUCGGGCCCCGUGCAGCCCCCCAGUUACCUGCGUGCCUUCAGAGCUGGCCUUGGCCUCUCGGUGGCCCCUGGAGGGAGCCAGCAGCUUUCCUGCUGCACUGCAGAUUACCUCGGAGUGACUUGCUCCUUUCUGUCUCUUAAUGCCAGCUUUCGGUUUACUGGGGUCUGACUCCCUGCACUUGGCUCCUUAUCCCUCACUGCCUGCUUUGCAAAGAACCAAGGACUUGUUCAAGAGCAGAACUGCCCCGUGGCUGGAAAUCUGCCCCCGCAGGGCUGUAUGGAAGAGAUGAGGGUGUCCCUUCCCCCAGCAGUGAAUCCAGUCACUGCGUAGCCCCUGACUUAUGGUGGGAGCAAAUGAGGUCAAAAUGUGUCCUGUGACCUUGCAGCGCUGGAUGGACAUGGGAGCAAGCAGGUCUCCGACACUUUGGUACUUGCGCUGAUCUACUGGGGAAGAGGGAGGGGAAAAAUCCAGCUUGUCUUAAGGAUCUCUGUGCCUCUAGAGCCCUCCUGAUGAAGCUGGGCCCUCCUGCACCUCGCAGCCUCUUGCCCUGUGAGCUUCUGCAGUUACAUGGUACCUGGCCGUGCCGGAGCAACGCUCAGGAUCAGGUCCGCAGGAGAGGAAUGGGUUGCCGCACCGCUCCGUGUAGCCGUAUGGGCACCGCGUGCUUCCUCACUCCUGCCUCUUGCCAGGGUUGGAGGCACGACCCGUUCCCAAGUGCUUGGUUGCGCGAUGGCUCUGCUGCAGCACAGCCUCGGGAGCGGGGGGCAGUUACCUUCCUCACCACCACCACGCUGCUGUCCUCCAAGGCCCGUGUCCUCUGCUUCUUCCCUUUCCUUGUCCCUCUUCCCCCAGCAGCCCUCCCUAAAAGCACCUGCUUUUCCCAGGCGAGCACGAAAUCAAGCAAUCCCGCAAAGUACAGUGAGGUUUUUCCUUUCCCCCUCUCCUAAACAAGGGAAGUGCUCUGCUACUGACAUCUCCGUUGCAGACAAGGUCGUGUGUCCCACGGCAAGCGCUGCAGGGAUGGAGGAUGGAGAUGGCUAUGGACCCGGUUCCUUGGGCAGACGCAAUGCUGAUAAAAGCGGAGCAGAGAUGAAGAGGGGAGGGGGUGCAGAGAGUUGUGUGUAUGCGGCUGAAUCCAGCUAUAGGGCUUUUUGCAGCCGAAUAAUUAAAUCUUCCCUUGCCCAAGCACAGCUCUCAGGAUGCUCAAACUCAGGGCUCGGCGUGUCUUUAGGAAGCUGAAAACACGAGUCUUGCAACAGAGAUUUAUUGAGGUCUAAAGCCUAACCUAAGAACCGACGUGCGCUGCUGCAGUCUCGCUAGAGCCUGGGAGAGGGAACACGUCCCCUCUUGCCGGGGGUGGCACUGAGGGUGGCUGCGGUGCUGCCAGCCCUCUCCUUGCCGGACCUGGCCGGCUUCUGGAAAAAAGCAGCCUCCUAAUUGAGUUCUGUGACUAGCUGAGUUGCAAAGGGGCUACGAGGGCGCAGAGGCAAGCAGGACGCGACCGCGGAGCCAUGUUGCGGCUCCGCAGCGCAGCGGGGGCCGCGUGGCCGAGCCCCCGCACCAGGGAGGGGAGAUGCAGGGAUGCGGGAGAGGGGCUGCUGGGGGGGCAACGUCAGAAAUAAAAAUU
This is a long non-coding RNA of Athene cunicularia (burrowing owl), 5697 nucleotides long. RefSeq lists it as uncharacterized. NCBI's taxonomy places the organism in Eukaryota, Metazoa, Chordata, Aves, Strigiformes, Strigidae. The transcript has 2 exons. The record is from RefSeq and is a predicted model, not a curated record.